GCCAGCCCGCUCAGAAACUUAAAGGAAGUUGACGGGGCCCGCACAAGCGGUGGAGUAUGUGGUUUAAUUCGAUGCAACGCGAAGAACCUUACCUGGUCUUGACAUCCCGGAGACCCUUAGGAAACUAGGGGGUGCUUCCAUCUGGAAGAAUCUGGAGACAGGUGCUGCAUGGCUGUCGUCAGCUCGUGUCGUGAGAUGUUGGGUUAAGUCCCGCAACGAGCGCAACCCUUGCCUUUAGUUGCCAGCAGUUCGGCUGGGCACUCUAAAGGGACUGCCGGUGUUAAACCGGAGGAAGGUGGGGAUGACGUCAAGUCCUCAUGGCCUUUAUGACCAGGGCUACACACGUACUACAAUGGCCGAUACAAAGGGCAGCGACACUGCGAGGUGAAGCCAAUCCCGUAAAAUCGGUCUCAGUCCGGAUUGGAGUCUGCAACUCGACUCCAUGAAGUUGGAAUCGCUAGUAAUCGUGGAUCAGCAUGCCACGGUGAAUACGUUCCCGGGCCUU
Molecule: ribosomal RNA, 505 nt
Filed under: uncultured Desulfobulbus sp.
Lineage: Bacteria; Pseudomonadati; Thermodesulfobacteriota; Desulfobulbia; Desulfobulbales; Desulfobulbaceae
Description: bacterial SSU rRNA
Rfam family: Bacterial small subunit ribosomal RNA
Source: RNAcentral